AGGUUAAGCUGAAGAGGCGGAGCCGCAGCGAAAGCGAGUCUGAAUAGGGCGUUUAGUACGUGGUCGUAGACCCGAAACCAGGUGAUCUACCCAUGUCCAGGGUGAAGUUCAGGUAACACUGAAUGGAGGCCCGAACCCACGCACGUUGAAAAGUGCGGGGAUGAGGUGUGGGUAGCGGAGAAAUUCCAAUCGAACCUGGAGAUAGCUGGUUCUCCCCGAAAUAGCUUUAGGGCUAGCCUUAAGUGUAAGAGUCUUGGAGGUAGAGCACUGAUUGAACUAGGGGUCCUCAUCGGAUUACCGAAUUCAGUCAAACUCCGAAUGCCAAUGACUUAUCCUUAGGAGUCAGACUGCGAGUGAUAAGAUCCGUAGUCAAGAGGGAAACAGCCCAGAUCGCCAGCUAAGGUCCCAAAGUGUGUAUUAAGUGGAAAAGGAUGUGGAGUUGCUUAGACAACUAGGAUGUUGGCUUAGAAGCAGCCACCAUUUAAAGAGUGCGUAAUAGCUCACUAGUCGAGUGACUCUGCGCCGAAAAUGUACCGGGGCUAAAUACACCACCGAAGCUGCGAAUUGAUACCAAUGGUAUCAGUGGUAGGGGAGCGUUCUAAGUGCAGUGAAGUCAGACCGGAAGGACUGGUGGAGCGCUUAGAAGUGAGAAUGCCGGUAUGAGUAGCGAAAGACGGGUGAGAAUCCCGUCCACCGAAUGCCUAAGGUUUCCUGAGGAAGGCUCGUCCGCUCAGGGUUAGUCAGGACCUAAGCCGAGGCCGACAGGCGUAGGCGAUGGACAACAGGUUGAUAUUCCUGUACCACCUCUUUAUCGUUUGAGCAAUGGAGGGACGCAGAAGGAUAGAAGAAGCGUGCGAUUGGUUGUGCACGUCCAAGCAGUUAGGCUGAUAAGUAGGCAAAUCCGCUUAUCGUGAAGGCUGAGCUGUGAUGGGGAAGCUCCUUAUGGAGCGAAGUCUUUGAUUCCCCGCUGCCAAGAAAAGCUUCUAGCGAGAUAAAAGGUGCCUGUACCGCAAACCGACACAGGUAGGCGAGGAGAGAAUCCUAAGGUGUGCGAGAGAACUCUGGUUAAGGAACUCGGCAAAAUGACCCCGUAACUUCGGGAGAAGGGGUGCUUUCUUAACGGAAAGCCGCAGUGAAUAGGCCCAAGCGACUGUUUAGCAAAAACACAGCUCUCUGCGAAGCCGUAAGGCGAAGUAUAGGGGGUGACACCUGCCCGGUGCUGGAAGGUUAAGGAGAGGGGUUAGCGUAAGCGAAGCUCUGAACUGAAGCCCCAGUAAACGGCGGCCGUAACUAUAACGGUCCUAAGGUAGCGAAAUUCCUUGUCGGGUAAGUUCCGACCCGCACGAAAGGUGUAACGAUUUGGGCACUGUCUCAACCAGAGACUCGGUGAAAUUAUAGUACCUGUGAAGAUGCAGGUUACCCGCGACAGGACGGAAAGACCCCGUGGAGCUUUACUGUAGCCUGAUAUUGAAUUUUGGUACAGUUUGUACAGGAUAGGCGGGAGCCAUUGAAACCGGAGCGCUAGCUUCGGUGGAGGCGCUGGUGGGAUACCGCCCUGACUGUAUUGAAAUUCUAACCUACGGGUCUUAUCGACCCGGGAGACAGUGUCAGGUGGGCAGUUUGACUGGGGCGGUCGCCUCCUAAAGUGUAACGGAGGCGCCCAAAGGUUCCCUCAGAAUGGUUGGAAAUCAUUCGUAGAGUGCAAAGGCAUAAGGGAGCUUGACUGCGAGACCUACAAGUCGAGCAGGGACGAAAGUCGGGCUUAGUGAUCCGGUGGUUCCGCAUGGAAGGGCCAUCGCUCAACGGAUAAAAGCUACCCCGGGGAUAACAGGCUUAUCUCCCCCAAGAGUCCACAUCGACGGGGAGGUUUGGCACCUCGAUGUCGGCUCAUCGCAUCCUGGGGCUGUAGUCGGUCCCAAGGGUUGGGCUGUUCGCCCAUUAAAGCGGUACGCGAGCUGGGUUCAGAACGUCGUGAGACAGUUCGGUCCCUAUCCGUCGUGGGCGUAGGAAAUUUGAGAGGAGCUGUCCUUAGUACGAGAGGACCGGGAUGGACGCACCGCUGGUGUACCAGUUGUUCUGCCAAGGGCAUAGCUGGGUAGCUAUGUGCGGAAGGGAUAAGUGCUGAAAGCAUCUAAGCAUGAAGCCCCCCUCAAGAUGAGAUUUCCCAUAGCGUAAGCUAGUAAGAUCCCUGAAAGAUGAUCAGGUUGAUAGGUUCGAGGUGGAAGCAUGGUGACAUGUGGAGCUGACGAAUACUAAUAGAUCGAGGACUUAACCAUAUAA
Molecule: ribosomal RNA, 2280 nt
Filed under: Bacillus thuringiensis
Lineage: Bacteria; Bacillati; Bacillota; Bacilli; Caryophanales; Bacillaceae
Also listed under: 1 other name
Description: partial 23S ribosomal RNA
Rfam family: Bacterial large subunit ribosomal RNA
Source: RNAcentral